This 429-nucleotide ribosomal RNA is filed under the name Bacteroidota bacterium. RNAcentral describes it as "Bacteroidetes bacterium partial 16S ribosomal RNA". It matches the Rfam family "Bacterial small subunit ribosomal RNA", at positions 355 to 776 of the family's 1533-position model. The record is from RNAcentral. Lineage: Bacteria; Pseudomonadati; Bacteroidota.
UAGGGAAUCUUCCGCAAUGGACGCAAGUCUGACGGAGCAACGCCGCGUGAGUGAAGAAGGAUUUCGGUUCGUAAAACUCUGUUGUUAGAGAAGAACAGCGCAUAGAGUAACUGUUAUGCGUGUGACGGUAUCUAACCAGAAAGCCACGGCUAACUACGUGCCAGCAGCCGCGGUAAUACGUAGGUGGCAAGCGUUGUCCGGAUUUAUUGGGCGUAAAGCGAGCGCAGGCGGUCAAUUAAGUCUGAUGUGAAAGCCCCCGGCUCAACCGGGGGGGGUCAGUGGAAACUGGUUGACUUGAGUGCAGAAGAGUGGAGUGGAAUUCCAUGUGUAGCGGUGAAAUUCGUAGAUAUAUGGAGGAACACCAGUGGCGAAGGCGACUCUCUGGUCUGUAACUGACGCUGAGGCUCGAAAGCGUGGGUAGCAAACAGG